GACGAACGCUGGCGGCGUGCUUAACACAUGCAAGUCGAACGUGAAGCCACCUUCGGGUGGUGGAAAGUGGCAGACGGGUGAGUAACGCGUGUGAACGUGCCUUUCGGUUCGGGAUAACCCAGGGAAACUUGGGCUAAUACCGGAUACGCCCUUCGGGGGAAAGCUUUAUUGCCGAAAGAUCGGCCCGCGUCGGAUUAGAUAGUUGGUAGGGUAAUGGCCUACCAAGGCGACGAUCCGUAGCUGGUCUGAGAGGAUGACCAGCCACACUGGGACUGAGACACGGCCCAGACUCCUACGGGAGGCAGCAGUGGGGAAUAUUGGACAAUGGGCGCAAGCCUGAUCCAGCCAUGCCGCGUGGGUGAAGAAGGCCUUAGGGUUGUAAACCCCUUUCAGCGGGGAAGAUAAUGGCGGUACCCGCAGAAGAAGUCCCGGCUAACUCCGUGCCAGCCGCCGCAGUAA
Molecule: ribosomal RNA, 459 nt
Filed under: uncultured bacterium
Lineage: Bacteria
Description: partial 16S ribosomal RNA
Rfam family: Bacterial small subunit ribosomal RNA
Source: RNAcentral